Molecule: ribosomal RNA, 392 nt
Filed under: uncultured bacterium
Lineage: Bacteria
Description: bacterial SSU rRNA
Rfam family: Bacterial small subunit ribosomal RNA
Source: RNAcentral
AUUGAACGCUGGCGGCAUGCCUUACACAUGCAAGUCGAACGGCAGCACGGGAGCAAUCCUGGUGGCGAGUGGCGAACGGGUGAGUAAUGUAUCGGAACGUACCUUUCAGUGGGGGAUAACGUAGCGAAAGUUACGCUAAUACCGCAUAUUCUGUGAGCAGGAAAGCAGGGGAUCGCAAGACCUUGCGCUGAUUGAGCGGCCGAUAUCAGAUUAGCUAGUUGGUGAGGUAAAGGCUCACCAAGGCGACGAUCUGUAGCGGGUCUGAGAGGAUGAUCCGCCACACUGGAACUGAGACACGGUCCAGACUCCUACGGGAGGCAGCAGUGGGGAAUUUUGGACAAUGGGCGCAAGCCUGAUCCAGCCAUGCCGCGUGAGUGAAGAAGGCCUUCGAG